UGCUGCGGUUAAAAAGCUCGUAGUUGGAUCUGCGUCUCAGGACCUGGUCCAUCCAUUGGAUGAGAACUGGGCUCCUAGGCUAAUAUUGCCAGUUUUCCCUACGUUACCUUGAUCGGUUGCGUAGGGUGGCCAGCAAGUUUACCUUGAAAAAAUUAGAGUGCUCAAUGCGGGCUAAUGCCUGAAUACUCGUGCAUGGAAUAAUGAAAUAGGAUCUCGGUUCUAUUUUGUUGGUUUUCUGAUCUGAGAUAAUGGUUAAGAGGGACGGACGGGGGCAUUCGUAUCGCUGCGUGAGAGGUGAAAUUCUUGGACCGUAGCGAGACGUCCAACUGCGAAAGCAUUUGCCAAGAAUGUCUUCAUUAAUCAAGAACGAAAGUCAGAGGUUCGAAGGCGAUCAGAUACCGCCCUAGUUCUGACCGUAAACGAUACCAACUAGCGUUCCGUCGGCGGUAAAUACGCCUUGACGGGCAGCUUCCCGGAAACGAAAGUUUUUCGGUUCCGGGGGAAGUAUGGUUGCAAAGCUGAAACUUAAAGAAAUUGACGGAAGGGCACCACCAGGAGUGGAGCCUGCGGCUUAAUUUGACUCAACACGGGAAAACUCACCUGGCCCGGACACCGUGAGGAUUGACAGAUUGAGAGCUCUUUCAUGAUUCGGUGGUUGGUGGUGCAUGGCCGUUCUUAGUUGGUGGAGUGAUUUGUCUGGUUUAUUCCGAUAACGAGCGAGACUCUAGCCUACUAAAUAGUUACUGGAUAAUUUAGUCCAGAAAACUUCUUAGAGGGACAAGCGGUGUUUAGCCGCAUGAAGUUGAGCAAUAACAGGUCUGUGAUGCCCUUAGAUGUCCAGGGCUGCACGCGCGCUACACUGGAGGAAUCAGCGUGCUGUAACCAUUACCGAAAGGUAUUGGUAACCCCUUGAAAAUCCUCCGUGAUCGGGAUCGGGAAUUGCAAUUAUUUCCCUUGAACGAGGAAUUCCUAGUAAGUGUGAGUCAUCAGCUCACGUUGAUUACGUCCCUGCCCUUUGUACACACCGCCCGUCGCUGCCCGGGACUGAGCCGUUUCGAGAAAAGCGGAGACUGCUGUUUCAAUACCUUUCGGGGUGGAGAUUCUUUGGUGGAAACCGCU
RNAcentral lists this ribosomal RNA (1119 nucleotides) under Setaria digitata. RNAcentral describes it as "SSU rRNA". It matches the Rfam family "Eukaryotic small subunit ribosomal RNA", at positions 611 to 1758 of the family's 1831-position model. Lineage: Eukaryota; Metazoa; Nematoda; Chromadorea; Rhabditida; Setariidae. The record is from RNAcentral.